UACAGAGGGGGCAAGCGUUGUUCGGAAUUACUGGGCAUAAAGGGCGCGUAGGCGGCCUUCUAAGUCGAACGUGAAAUCCCCGGGCUCAACCCGGGAACUGCGUCCGAUACUGGAAGGCUUGAAUCCGGGAGAGGGAUGCGGAAUUCCAGGUGUAGCGGUGAAAUGCGUAGAUAUCUGGAGGAACACCGGUGGCGAAGGCGGCAUCCUGGACCGGCAUUGACGCUGAGGCGCGAAAGCCAGGGGAGCAAACGGG
This 253-nucleotide ribosomal RNA is filed under the name uncultured bacterium. RNAcentral describes it as "partial 16S ribosomal RNA". It matches the Rfam family "Bacterial small subunit ribosomal RNA", at positions 524 to 776 of the family's 1533-position model. The record is from RNAcentral.